UGGGGAAUUUUGUACAAUGGGGGAAACCCUGAUCCAGCCAUCCCGCGUGUGCGAUGAAGGCCUUCGGUUUGUAAAGCACUUUUGGCAGGAAAGAAACGUCAUGGGUUAAUACCCCGUGAAACUGACGGUACCUGCAGAAUAAGCACCGGCUAACUACGUGCCAGCAGCCGCGGUAAUACGUAGGGUGCAAGCGUUAAUCGGAAUUACUGGGCGUAAAGCGUGCGCAGGCGGUUCGGAAAGAAAGAUGUGAAAUCCCAGAGCUAAACUUUGGAACUGCAUUUUUAACUACCGGGCUAGAGUGUGUCAGAGGGAGGUGGAAUUCCGCGUGUAGCAGUGAAAUGCGUAGGUAUGCGGAGGAACACCGAUGGCGAAGGCAGCCUCCUGGGAUAACACUGACGCUCAUGAACGAAAGCGUGGGGAGCAAACAGG
RNAcentral lists this ribosomal RNA (429 nucleotides) under Acidobacteriota bacterium. Its description in RNAcentral is "Acidobacteria bacterium partial 16S ribosomal RNA". It matches the Rfam family "Bacterial small subunit ribosomal RNA", at positions 355 to 776 of the family's 1533-position model. The record is from RNAcentral. Lineage: Bacteria; Pseudomonadati; Acidobacteriota.